CAAGUCCCUGUCGGGCAAGGGUUAGCCACCCACCCGUAUCGAGUGUUGCGCCUGUGGCGGAGCGCCUGCGUGGAUGCAAGUCUGCAAAGGGCCGCGAACAAAACAGGUGAAGCGUACACAGAGAAGGUUAUAGGCCAUAGGGGAGGCCGCACUCCCUGAAUUGCUGGUACAGCCCCGAAAUCGAGUAUUGUUGCAGUCGACGAGCGUUUUAACGGCCGCGAAGUCAACAGGAAACGACCGCAAACGGCAAGGUCGUGGAAGGCUGCCCGGGUCCUCAGGCU
Non-coding RNA from Desulfofustis glycolicus DSM 9705, 281 nucleotides. The record is from Rfam. Lineage: Bacteria; Pseudomonadati; Thermodesulfobacteriota; Desulfobulbia; Desulfobulbales; Desulfocapsaceae.